UUAUUAUUAUUAUUCUUCCGUACCUUUUUUGGCCCUUUUCAACUCCUCACCACUUUGUGCUAUUUUCACCAUUCAAACUUUAUACUAAUGCACUCCUUCAGGACAUUACGGCUAUUACUUUUCACCUUUCUACCAUUUAUACUUUUUGCAAUAUUUCACUUUUUCUGCAAAAUUUGUUCCAUUACAAAUGAAUGGAGAUACAGCUAUAACACCUUCUCACCCUUAUAACUUCUGCAUACUUUCACCUACAGACCUCAUUUUUGCUUUAAAAUGUUCAGCAACGUGUCUGCUACAAAUGUUGUAUUCACUCCUUUUUGCUAUUUCCUACCGUUUUUGCACAAUUUCGCUUGGAGCAACAUGAAGUUCUCUGCCUUUUUCAGCCUGACUCACGCUACAGCGUGUGACGUCAGAUGUUACGUCACCGCUAGAUGCGGGCGGGGCCUUUUGGAUUCACUACACCAAGCAUGAUUAUUUUGCUGCUGCGGCCGCAAUUUUCACUCCACAGCCAUAAAAAACACAUCAAAAUGGAGGUACACUCGUCCUGCUUCUCACAAAAUCGGUCUGAAGUCAUGAAAUUGUACAGCUUGCCCAGGAGGUGAGUACAUUCCUUCAGAGCCAGAGAUUCUGCACUUGUCAUGGGCUGUCUGCUUCGAUCGCACACGCACAUGCACACGCACGGACUCGGCCGCUCGUGCGCGCGCGGGCACACACACAUACACACACACUGUUUCCAUGAGUGCAUUACUGUGUCUCUUUCUCUCUUACUGUCUCUGUCAGAUUCUGCACUUGUCAUGGGCUGUGUGCUUCGAUCACACACGCAUAUGCACACGCACUGGCUCGGCCGCGCGCGCGCGCGGGCACACACACACACACACACACACACACACACACACACACACACACACACUGUUUCCAUGUGUGCAUUACUGUCCCUCUGUCAGUAGAAAAUACAGCCCCAAUAUGAACUUUGUUGUUACAGUUCUUGUCUUUAACUCUUUUAACAUACUAACUUCUUCUUUUUCUUCUACUUCUGCUUUUCUUUUCUAUACUUUCUACAUUUAUACAAUUAAUUUAACUUCAGCUGUUUCAUACUUUCUGCAUUCAGAUGUAGGGCAGUAACUGAAGCAGGGCAAUAGAUGGUGCUGUUCUGCAUUCUCAAGUUACUAUGGUUGGAUGCUGCAGACUGCAAAAAUCUGUUUUACUAUUUGUACAUUUAAUAGGAACAUUGUUACACAUUGUUUAAAGGCAUUUGUUUUUCAAAUUCAAUUAUCCAUAUCAGUUCUGUUUAUUCACAUCAAUCAUAUACAUUUUUCACUUAGGCUAUCAGACAAUUUGUACAUUAAUCCAACUAAUUUACCUCCAGCUAUACUACAAUUCUUCCAUUCAUACAAUUUCUUCUUCUUCUACUCCACCUUUUCUACAGUUUUUCCGUUUAUACCUUCCUCCAUUUUUUAUUGGCAGUUUUGCAUUGCUUUUUCAGCUUUCAGCACUCAGCAUUUCCACGCAUUUUCUGCAAGGAAAUGCAAUUUUUCUAGUUAAGUGGAAAUGCUGAUAGGCAUUUCCACUUAUUGUUAUUCUCCUGUUUCUUUAUUAUUAUUAUUAAGUGGAAAUGCUGAUAGGCAUUUCCACUUAUUGUUAUUCUCCUGUUUCUUUAUUAUUAUUAUUAUUAUUAUUAUUAUUAUUAUUAUUUUUCUUCCGCCAUUUUUUGGCACUUUAUAACUCUUCUCCACUUUGUGCGAUUUCAACCGUUCAAACUUUAAACUAUUCCUCUCCUUCAGGACAUGACGGCGAUUACUUUUCACUUUUCUACCCUUUAUACUUUUUGAUUUUUUUAACUUUUUAUGCAAAAAUUUUAACAUUGAAGUCAAUGGGGAAAUCUUCCAAUUCUUCCUGUUUUUCUUCCACCUUCUGAACCUUGUAACUUCUGCAUACUUUCACCUAGAGACCUCAUUUUUGCUUUAAAAUGUUCAUUCACUUGUCGACUAUUACAGUUGUACUCAGUUUUUUGAUAUCUCUUACAGUUUUUCCACAAUUUAGCUUUAAGCAACUUGUGGUUUUCAGCAAAUUUCAAGCUUUAUAAUGGGUGUGUAUUGGAGAGUUUAGAGUGGUGAUGUCAUCAGCUAGAGUGCAGACCUCGUCUCUGAUCGACAGAACCUCGCUCGAAUAUAUCGCUCCCACGCCCACAAAUCUCACUCCACUGACACAAAUAAUACAUCAAAAUGGAGGUAUAUGUGUCCUGCUUCUCACAAAAGAGGUUUCAAAUCAUUAAAUCGUACCCCUUGGCCAGCAGGUGACCAACUGUCCAAAAAAGGCGGAAAUCUCUCCCAUUGACUGUAAUGUUAUUUUUCUCCAAGAAAAUCCGGAUCAUCGCUCAAGCUCAGACUUUUUUAACUCGCUGUUGUGGCCUCAUUUUUCGAAGUACAGACAUGAAAAACACAUCAUUGUGUUCAUGAAGGACGGAGGAUUCGUACGAUGUUCUUAUUUUCAUUCUGGGACUUAAGGAAAUCACGCUAUGUGAAGAAGUUCACAGGCUGAAAUUCACUGCAGUUCAGCACCUCUCAGUCAAACAGUAGGUUAGUGAUUUGCCUUUGAUCUCACAGCUGUUUAGGAUGCAGUCAUUAACGAGACACACACACACACACGCACACACACCUUCUUGUACUUGUUGCUUUUUGAGGUCCACCUUGCAGUUCAGCUGCUUGUACACACAGUUAAUAUGUGUCUGCUUCACCACCUAUCUCCACCCACAAACUUUGAGCAACAGAAACCAUUCUGGGCUUCAAAAAUUCAGCUCAUUGAAGAUAUUAUGGGGUGUUUUGAGGAUUGUGAUAAUAAAUUGUAUUAAUGUGUUCAGCAGAGUCUUGUGUUCUCACAAGCUCCUUAUGAAUAUAUACAGAGGGUGAGCGUCAGGGCCUACUUGGAGUCCUGUUUCUUUAGCUUCAAGCCUUCUUUCUCCUGCUAUAGUUAUGCAUCCAAGGUCCCCAUGGCAACCAAUUUGUGCACCUGGAGACACACAGCUGACUGGAAAGCUGCUUCUAGUGGCCAUAUGAGACACAUGAAGCCAGGCUCAGUACACAUAGCAAUUGGGAUGACACUUAAAACCCUUUCCUAGAGCGUUGGAAAAAACUUCAGCCCCAAUCCCCUCACAUGACCUUUGACCUACAGAAACCAUUCAGGGCUUUGAAAUUUAAGCUCAUUGAGGACAUUAUUGGGUGUAUUUAGGAUUGUUAUUCAUUUAAAUUUUUCACAUUUUAAAAGUCAGUCAGUGAUGAUUUAUCAUUUAAUUUUUCAAACUAAUUUAAACUCAUUCAAACUGAUUCAAACCUUUCUAAUACUUCAAAACUUUCUGAUACUUGAGGACUUUUGAUAAUUUAAAAUUUCCCUGUUUUAAAUUAGUUUUAAUAUUUAUGCAUUACUCCAUCAUUCAAACAAAAUCCUACCUCAAGUACGACAACUACUGCUAAUGUCAAUUAAACUAGAACUUUCCCC
Non-coding RNA from Xyrichtys novacula (pearly razorfish), 3489 nucleotides. The record is from the annotation of a GenBank genome assembly. Lineage: Eukaryota; Metazoa; Chordata; Actinopteri; Labriformes; Labridae.